GGGGCCAGGUGCGGAGACCAGUUUGCGGCUCGGGGCGGGGGCUCUUGUGGGCGGGGCCUCUUGUGGGCGGGGCCAGGCGCCCCCCGGGAGGCCCGCGGGGACCCCGGCGCGGCCGGGACCUGGGCGGGCGGCGGCGGCUCCCUAGCCUCGGUCACCUCGGCUGCAAAUGGGACUAUUACCCAGGGGCCCGCGGGAGUCCCCGGCCCCCAGGCCGAGCGGGGCCGCCCCGCAACCCCGCCGGGCUGGCCCGGUUUCCCGGCGGAGCGCCCGUGCUCUCCGCGGCCCAGACCCGCCGCCCCUGCCUCGGGGGACCUGCCGGGUUAGCGCCCGCUGGCGGGGGAGGUCGGGGCGCUGGAGGUGCAGUGCUGGCGACAGUGCCAGUGAGCGGAAGGCGCUCGGAGAGGUUCACAGCGACGCUCCCUUCCCCCAGCCGUCCCCCACCCGGCCCUCUCACGCCACGACAGCGCCACGGGCAGACGCUGUGUCUGUGGCAACCAAAUGGAGGGUGUGGCUGGUUUUCCUGAGGACCGGAGCUGGCCUGUGCUGGGAGCCGCCUGGGGAGCAGACCGGCCUGGCAGCCAAAGGACUCAACCUGCCCAGAUGA
RNAcentral lists this long non-coding RNA (604 nucleotides) under Canis lupus dingo (dingo). RNAcentral describes it as "lncRNA (ENSCAFG00020011229.1)". Lineage: Eukaryota; Metazoa; Chordata; Mammalia; Carnivora; Canidae. The record is from RNAcentral.